ACGCGUCCUGGAACACAUUUCGCGCGCGUUCUUUUUCUAGUUUCAUUUUCUUUCUCUGUCGCCUCGAGCACUGUUUCACGCUUCGUCUCUCUCUCUCACUCUCUCUCUCUCUCUCUCUCUCUCUCUUUCUCUCUCUCUCUUUAUUUCUUUCUUUAUUAUCAAUUUUCUAAUUUUUCUUUCUGUUAUCUUCCGAUUCGUGAAGACACGUGAAAUAAGUGAGAUAUGUUAAUUUUUUAAUUAUUAAAUUUUUUUGAACCUGGUCUUAUUUGGGGCUCCUUGGAAAUACACAAAAUUUGUUGCUAACUAUUCCUCACGACGAAGUUUUGCCUUAUUGAUAUGAAAAAUCUUAAACGAAAUCUUUCUCAAAGAAAGUGAAGUUGAAGUUUCACCCCUGUGCCGUUGUGUUCGAUUAUUUUUGGGAGUUAUAUAUUUAUGUUUAUAUAAAACAAUAUAAAGGUAGAUAGAUAUCAUGCAACCGAGUGAAAAGAUCUUUAGAACAACGAGGACAACGAUUCGUAUCAUGCUGUUAGCAGAGUUCGGUGUACUCGUUAUAUUUUCAUAUUUAGAUCUUAAUAUGUCCAUUUUCUAUCAGUGAAUAACUGAUCGCUUUCAGUAAAGAAAAAAAUGAUCUCAUUACGGAUAUAUGUGAGAGAGAAAGAGAGAAAGUGGAAGCGAAUUUAGUUUGCGUGAAAGCUUCAGUCCCAAUAGGGUAAAGUUCAAAGGAGAUAGUCUCUCGAUGGAGAAAGCUCACGUUAUUCUCUCUCCCUUUCUCUCUCUCCCUCUCUCUCUCUCUUUUCCGCUCUUUCUCUUCGUCUAUUUCUAUCUUUCUUUGUCGAUUUCCACAGUCAUUUUAGAUAUAGACUUUUUUGAAAGUAGGAUAAAAUCAAUUUUC
Polistes canadensis is the source of this 892-nucleotide long non-coding RNA. RefSeq lists it as uncharacterized. The transcript has 4 exons. The record is from RefSeq and is a predicted model, not a curated record. NCBI's taxonomy places the organism in Eukaryota, Metazoa, Arthropoda, Insecta, Hymenoptera, Vespidae.